AACAUUGUGGCAAAGGGGAGAAAAACCACCAUCAUCACAGAGCUGAUGGUUUCCCUAAGGGAUGCACAAACAAUGAGAUUCCUACCACACACAGAGAUGAGACAGAAGGUCACCGAGUACAAACUGUGCAAGCUAAAGGGAAAAAAAUCACUCCACAACUAAGAGCAUCAUUGCCUUUUUUGUUAGUCUGCUGUACUUCUUUAAUAUAUCUUUCAUGCAGUAAAUGCUAUUGAUGUCUA
Molecule: non-coding RNA, 239 nt
Organism: Taeniopygia guttata (zebra finch)
Lineage: Eukaryota; Metazoa; Chordata; Aves; Passeriformes; Estrildidae
Source: RefSeq, a predicted model, not a curated record